CCCUUAGAUGUUCUGGGCUGCACGCGCGCUACACUGAAGCGUUCAACGAGUAUUCACCUUGCCCGGGAGGGUUGGGUAAUCUUUUCAAAACGCUUCGUGAUGGGGAUAGAUUAUUGCAAUUAUUAAUCUUGAACGAGGAAUUCCUAGUAAACGCGAGUCAUCAGCUCGCAUUGAUUACGUCCCUGCCCUUUGUACACACCGCCCGUCGCACCUACCGAUUGAAUGGUUCGGUGAAGAUCUCGGACUUCGAUAUUUGUUCUUCAUUGAACUUAUAUAGUGGGAAGUUAUCUGAACCUCAUCAUUUAGAGGAAGGUGAAGUCGUAACA
This 326-nucleotide ribosomal RNA is filed under the name uncultured eukaryote. RNAcentral's name for it is "partial 18S ribosomal RNA". It matches the Rfam family "Eukaryotic small subunit ribosomal RNA", at positions 1470 to 1796 of the family's 1831-position model. The record is from RNAcentral.